CCUACGGGUGGCAGCAGUGAGGAAUAUUGGUCAAUGGACGAGAGUCUGAACCAGCCAAGUAGCGUGAAGGAUGACUGCCCUAUGGGUUGUAAACUUCUUUUAUAUGGGAAUAAAACAGGGUAUGCAUACCCUCUUGUAUGUACCAUAUGAAUAAGGAUCGGCUAACUCCGUGCCAGCAGCCGCGGUAAUACGGAGGAUCCGAGCGUUAUCCGGAUUUAUUGGGUUUAAAGGGAGCGGAGGUGGAUUGUUGAGUCAGUUGUGAAAGUGUGCGGCUCAACCGUAAAGUUGCAGUUGAUACUGGCAGUCGUGAGUACAGUAGAGGUGGGCGGAAUUCGUGGUGUAGCGGUGAAAUGCUUAGAUAUCACGAAGAACUCCGAUUGCGAAGGCAGCCUGCUGGACUGUAACUGACGCUGAUGCACGAAAGUGUGGGUAUCAAACAGGAUUAGAUACCCCUGUAGUC
This 460-nucleotide ribosomal RNA is filed under the name uncultured bacterium. Its description in RNAcentral is "partial 16S ribosomal RNA". It matches the Rfam family "Bacterial small subunit ribosomal RNA", at positions 338 to 795 of the family's 1533-position model. The record is from RNAcentral.